AUAGCAGAUAGGGAACAUAGGGUACAAAGUUAUGGGUCUAAAUCACUUUAGUGAUAUGACUGACAAACUGCCAAU
This 75-nucleotide non-coding RNA is filed under the name Actinomycetota bacterium. RNAcentral's name for it is "Actinobacteria bacterium c-di-GMP sequence". It matches the Rfam family "c-di-GMP-I riboswitch aptamer". From Rfam's summary of the family: GEMM was predicted in a large-scale screen for bacterial structured RNA regulatory elements. Lineage: Bacteria; Bacillati; Actinomycetota. The record is from RNAcentral.